UCCGAACCACAGGCAUAAUAAUCGUCUUCUGGGUGGGUUAAUGAUUCCCAUGAAUAGCUGACGGGACAGGUAUGUUUUACGCACAUUUACCAUUUUUUCCAAUGAGCGACAAAGCGUUUGUUUCUUGUUGCACGUGACCCGGAAACGGGUGGAGCAGAGGAUAUUGCGACGGCAUCCGCCUCGGAGCGUGAACAGAAGCCAUGGAGGUGCAAGAAGAGGUGCCAGACGCCGCUAGCUAAUCACGUGAAUAAGAAGAAUGACUGAAGAAGCGAAGCGAACGUACGAGCUUGUGGUGUUUGGUGCGUCCGGUUAUACUGGUGAAUUUGUGGCUGAAAGAGUCGCAAAACGGGCAAGGGAAGUCUCUCUUUCAUGGGCAGUCGCAGGCAGAAAUCUUGCAAAGCUGCAGAAGGUUGUAGACGAUAUUGCCAAGUCAACAGGGUUGGCUGAACAAUGAGAAUGGUAGCGACUUCAAUGAAUAAGGUAGAAUAGAGAUGUAAUGGCA
Molecule: long non-coding RNA, 502 nt
Organism: Corticium candelabrum
Lineage: Eukaryota; Metazoa; Porifera; Homoscleromorpha; Homosclerophorida; Plakinidae
Exons: 3
Source: RefSeq, a predicted model, not a curated record